GAUGAAGAACGUAGCGAAAUGCGAUACUUGGUGUGAAUUGCAGAAUCCCGUGAACCAUCGAGUUUUUGAACGCAAGUUGCGCCCGAAGCCAUCAGGUUGAGGGCACGUCUGCCUGGGCGUCACAUAUCGUUGCCCUAUGCCUAUUGCAGUGCAAUAGGAAUUUCUAGGGCGAAUGAUGGCUUCCCGUGAGCGUUGUUGCCUCGCGGUUGGUUGAAAAUCGAGUCCUUGGUAGGGUGUGCCAUGGUAGAUGGUGGUCGAGUUAGAACGAUACCGAUCAUGUGCAUGCUCCGCAAAAUAUGGCCUCUAUGACCCACACGCGUCUUUUGACGCUCAUGACGAGACCUCAGGUCAGGCGGGGCUACCCGCUGAAUUUAAGCAUAUCAAUAAGCGGAGGA
Molecule: unclassified non-coding RNA, 395 nt
Filed under: soil metagenome
Description: partial contains 5.8S ribosomal RNA, internal transcribed spacer 2, and large subunit ribosomal RNA
Rfam family: 5.8S ribosomal RNA (bases 1-122)
Source: RNAcentral